Molecule: ribosomal RNA, 253 nt
Filed under: uncultured bacterium
Lineage: Bacteria
Description: partial 16S ribosomal RNA
Rfam family: Bacterial small subunit ribosomal RNA
Source: RNAcentral
GACGAACCGUGCGAACGUUGUUCGGAAUCACUGGGCUUAAAGGGCGCGUAGGCGGGCUGCCAAGUCUGGGGUGAAAUCCUCCGGCUCAACCGGAGAACGGCCUCGGAUACUGGCGGUCUCGAGGGAGGUAGGGGCGUGCGGAACUAAGGGUGGAGCGGUGAAAUGCGUUGAUAUCCUUAGGAACUCCGGUGGCGAAGGCGGCACGCUGGACCUUUUCUGACGCUGAGGCGCGAAAGCCAGGGGAGCAAACAGG